UGGGGAAUAUUGCGCAAUGGUCGAAAGACUGACGCAGCGACGCCGCGUGUGGGAGGAAGCCUUUCGGGGUGUAAACCACUGUCAGAUGGGAAGAACACUAUAUGUUCGAAUAGGGCAUGUAGCUGACGGUACCAUCAGAGGAAGCGCCGGCUAACUCCGUGCCAGCAGCCGCGGUAAGACGGAGGGCGCAAGCGUUGUUCGGAAUUACUGGGCGUAAAGCGCGGGCAGGUGGUUUCUUAAGUCUUUUGUGAAACUCCGGGGCUCAACUCCGGACAUGCAGAAGAUACUGGGAGACUGGAGACCGGUAGAGGCUAGCGGAAUUCCUGGUGUAGCGGUGGAAUGCGUAGAUAUCAGGAAGAACACCGGUGGCGAAGGCGGCUAGCUGGGCCGGGUCUGACACUCAUCCGCGAAAGCGUGGGGAGCAAACAGGAUUAGAUACCCCCGUAGUCC
RNAcentral lists this ribosomal RNA (450 nucleotides) under uncultured prokaryote. RNAcentral describes it as "bacterial SSU rRNA". It matches the Rfam family "Bacterial small subunit ribosomal RNA", at positions 355 to 796 of the family's 1533-position model. The record is from RNAcentral.